UGAACGCUAGAGCUGUGCUUAACACAUGCGAGUCGAACGUCGUUUAUAAACGAAGUGGCGAACGGGUGAGUAACGCGUGAGAAUUUGCCUAAUAGUCUGGAAUACACUUCUAUAACUUUUAAAAGUUAUACGUUAAUACCGGAUAAUCAAAGAUAUUUAUCGCUAUUAGAUAAGCUCGCGUAGGAUUAGGUUGUUGGUUUGGUAAUGGCAAACCAAGCUUAUGAUCCUUAGCUGGUCUUAGCGGAUGAUCAGCCACAUUGGAACUGAGACAAGGUCCAAACUCCUAUGGAGGCAGCAGUGGGGAAUAUUGGACAAUGGACGAAAGUCUGAUCCAGCAAUAGCUCGUGAGUGAUGACAGCUUUUNGGUUGUAAANCUCUUUNNNCAAGGAAGAUAAUGACNNUACUUGNAGAANAAGCCCCGGCAAAUUUCGUGCCAGCAGCCGCGGUAAUACGAAAGGGGCNAGUGUUAUUCGAAAUUACUGGGCGUAAAGGGUAAGUAGGUGGUUGAGUCAGUUGUAUGUUAAAUCCCAAAGCCUAACUUUGGUAGAGCGUACAAAACUAUUCAACUAGAAUAAAAGAGAGGAUAGUGGAAUUUCUAAUGGAGGGUUAGAUUCUGUAGAUAUUAGAAGGAACAUCAAAGGCGAAGGCAACUAUCUGGCUUUUUAUUGACGCUAAAUUACGAAGGCGUAGGUAGCGAACAGGAUUAGAUACCCUGGUAGUCUACGCAGUCAACGAUGGAUGUUAAAUUUUGAGUAGUUUUUUAAAUGAGUACGCAAGGAAAGUUUUUUUAAAACAGAUCCAGGAUUACAGCUAACGCGUUAAACAUCCCGCCUGGGGAGUACGGCCGCAAGGCUAAAACUUAAAGAAAUUGACGGGGACCUACACAAGCGGUGGAGCAUGUGGUUUAAUUCGAUACUACGCGCAAAACCUUA
RNAcentral lists this ribosomal RNA (932 nucleotides) under metagenome. RNAcentral describes it as "bacterial SSU rRNA". It matches the Rfam family "Bacterial small subunit ribosomal RNA", at positions 30 to 973 of the family's 1533-position model. The record is from RNAcentral.